Brachypodium distachyon (stiff brome) is the source of this 980-nucleotide long non-coding RNA. RefSeq lists it as uncharacterized. NCBI's taxonomy places the organism in Eukaryota, Viridiplantae, Streptophyta, Magnoliopsida, Poales, Poaceae. The transcript is spliced from 2 exons. The record is from RefSeq and is a predicted model, not a curated record.
CCAAAGGCUCAGAUUAGUUAGUACUUCUUAAUAUUCCAAUUUAGAUCUAUGGAGUAACAGGAUGGAGUAUUAAGAGACAAGGGUAAAAAUGUAAUCUAGUAGUCCGAAGAAACAGAACGACGUCGGCAGUUUUCGUUUUCUUUUCCCAUUUCUCCUCUUCUCUCCGUCGAUCCUCUUCGCAGAGCUCCACGACCUCCCUCCGCUGCCGCAGCCUGCCGUAGACCACCUCCCAAAGCUCCCUUCGCUGACGCCCACCCCAACUGACCGCUCACUGCCUCCCUCCCUCCGCCCACGGAAUAUUUCUCCAAGUCUCCCGCCCCCUUCCACGGUUCCACCUCGCCUCAUCGGCACAUGGCGGCGCGGUGGUGGCCGGCGAACGCGUCAUUGUACAGUGAGAUGCAGAAGAGCUGCCUCAUGCUCGCGCUGCCCCUCUCCCCUCCGUCCUCUGCUCCAAGCUCGUGGAGCACUUCCCCAACUACUUCGGGCAGCUGUCGGCACCUGCGGUGCUGUCGGCCGAGCCUGUGGCAGCCAAGCCACGCAAGAUCGGCGUUGUGCUAUCUGGCGGUCAGCCUCAAUAAAUAUGUCAGUCACAGGUUUCCUGCCUUCCAUACGAGCCUUCAUUUUUCAUGCCAGAAGAUGUGGAGGUGUUGAAUGAGCCAAAGGAAAGAAAGAAAGGAAAAAAGAAACAAGCCAUACAGGCUUGCAGCAUAUUAUGGUAGGUAAGCUCUUGGGGAGAAUGAGGAUCUGUAAGCACAUCAGCUGAAGGGUUCCGCAGCCUCAGGGUCCUCCUGGAAGGUCAAUGAUAGCAGUGUGCCAUUGUCGCCGCCAUCCUUAUUCUGUGCUACAUUGUUGAGUGUUAAUUGUAUGUAGUGAUUUUGACGUUCUGCUGCUGUUCAUCAUCCAUUGUCGACAUUUGGCAGAAUGCUUGGCCUCCUGCGCCAGAAGCUCACCUCGAUUAUACCAUCUGAAAUUCUCAUCUA